This 566-nucleotide ribosomal RNA is filed under the name uncultured bacterium. RNAcentral describes it as "bacterial SSU rRNA". It matches the Rfam family "Bacterial small subunit ribosomal RNA", at positions 28 to 638 of the family's 1533-position model. The record is from RNAcentral.
AAUGAACGCUGGCGGCAGGCCUAAAACAUGCAAGUCGAACGCUUGUAGCAAUACAAGAGUGGCGCACGGGUGAAUAGCACGUGGGAAUAUGCCUUUUGGUACGGAACAACUCCGGGAAACUGGAGCUAAUACCGUAUGGUCCCUUCGGGGUAAAGAUUUAUCGCCAAAAGAUUAGCCCGCGGUGGAUUAGCUAGUUGGUGAGGUAAUGGCUCACCAAGGCGACGAUCCAUAGCUGGUCUGAGAGGACGAUCAGCCACACUGGGACUGAGACACGGCCCAGACUCCUACGGGAGGCAGCAGUUAGGAAUAUUGGACAAUGGACGCAAGUCUGAUCCAGCCAUGCCGCGUGAGCGAUGAAGGCCUUCGGGUUGUAAAGCUCUUUAGUCCACGAAUAUAAUGACUGUAGUGGAAGAAUAAGCCCCGGCUAACUUCGUGCCAGCAGCCGCGGUAAUACGAAGGGGGCGAGCGUUAUUCGGAAUCACUGGGCGUAAAGCGUGCGUAGGCUGUUCAGCAAGUCAGAAGUGAAAGCCCAAGGCUCAACCUUGGAAGCGCUUUUGAAACUGCUG